GGAUCCGACAUUUUGGAUCCCGCCAAAAUGAUGAGCCUCACAGCAUUAAUGCUGAGGAAUAUCGAUCCCGCCACUGAUCAAGGGGUACCCAAGCUCCAAUCCACGAAGGUCGAAGCCAUGGCUGAAAUCGAAGUUCGAAGAGCAAAAGCUGAAGCCGAUGAUGAUGCUACGAGGUUGCUAUGAUGUCUGGCUGUUGAGGGAGGUUGGACAUGAUAGGCUGGAUCAACCAGAAAUCGGGUCUGAAUGCAUGACGGAUUCAACCUGUUUCAAGUCAUUUUCAAUCUACAGGUUCAUUUUAAGUGAGACUCGUACGCGAGGUAGGUUCAAAGAUCGGAACUUGUUGAUACGGGUAAAGAGAUGGUGGAAGGGAGUGCCAGUUUACCUGUGAUAGGCGGCGAAUCAGUGUAAGGAGGAAGAACAAGGAGGAGGAGGAUGCUCUAGAGUUGAUGUGUAAUGUUACUAGGGAGAAAAGUCGAUAUUUGGUCCCUCGUGCACUCAGGCUUAUAUAGAGGGGUCAUCCUUUGUUCUAUAGUGCCACGUAACUAACAGUACAGUUUUCUGCACGGUUGUGUGGGUUAGCCAGGUGGCAGUGCUGUUGCAUGUUAGUUGCCGUCAUGGAGUGUACUUUGUGAUCUUACUUUGACAUUCUCGCCCUUAGGGUCAUACAUGGUGGUUAUGCUUUAGUGGUUUUAGUAAGUGCCGCGUGACGGACCGCCUAUAGGUCGACUCAGUCAUCCUUCCAUGAGAAGAGACUGUCCCUUGUGAAGUGUCAUCCGCAGACCAUCCAACAACUUAGGACGUGAAAUGAAAUGUUACAUUUCAACUUUUGGUGUUUUUGUUUGAAUUUGAUUCAUUCUUUUAUCUCAAAGUUUUCACACUAAAAUUCAUAUGAAAUACAUGAUUACCAUGAAA
Long non-coding RNA from Gossypium arboreum, 912 nucleotides. RefSeq lists it as uncharacterized. The record is from RefSeq and is a predicted model, not a curated record. NCBI's taxonomy places the organism in Eukaryota, Viridiplantae, Streptophyta, Magnoliopsida, Malvales, Malvaceae. The transcript has 3 exons.